AGAGUUUGAUCCUGGCUCAGGAUGAACGCUGGCGGCGUGCCUAACACAUGCAAGUCGAACGAAGCGAUCUUAAUGAAGUUUUCGGAUGGAUUUGAGAUUGACUUAGUGGCGGACGGGUGAGUAACGCGUGGGUAACCUGCCUUGUACAGGGGGAUAACAGUUAGAAAUGACUGCUAAUACCGCAUAACCCGCUAAGGUCGCAUGACCUGGACGGAAAAGAUUUAUCGGUACAAGAUGGACCCGCGUCUGAUUAGCUAGUUGGUGAGGUGACGGCCCACCAAGGCGACGAUCAGUAGCCGGCCUGAGAGGGUGAACGGCCACAUUGGGACUGAGACACGGCCCAAACUCCUACGGGAGGCAGCAGUGGGGAAUAUUGCACAAUGGGGGAAACCCUGAUGCAGCAACGCCGCGUGAGUGAAGAAGUAUUUCGGUAUGUAAAGCUCUAUCAGCAGGGAAGAAAAUGACGGUACCUGACUAAGAAGCCCCGGCUAACUACGUGCCAGCAGCCGCGGUAAUACGUAGGGGGCAAGCGUUAUCCGGAUUUACUGGGUGUAAAGGGAGCGUAGACGGUUGUGCAAGUCUGAAGUGAAAGCCCGGGGCUCAACCCCGGGACUGCUUUGGAAACUGUAUAACUAGAGUGCAGGAGAGGUAAGCGGAAUUCCUAGUGUAGCGGUGAAAUGCGUAGAUANUAGGAGGAACACCAGUGGCGAAGGCGGCUUACUGGACUGUAACUGGCACUGAGGGUAGUACGCGUGGGGAGCAACAGGAUUAGAUACCAUGGUAGUCCACACUGUAGACGAUGAAUACUAGCUGUUGAUGAGCAGAGCUCAUCGCUGGCGCAGCUCACGCUAUAAGUAUUCCAUCUGGGGAGUACGUUCGCCAGAAUGAUACUCAAAGGAAUUGACGGGGACCCGCACAAGCGGUGGAGCACGUGGUCUAAUUCGAAGCUACGCGAAGAACGAUUAUUUGAUAUUGACAUCCCGAUGAACGACUCUGAACCGAGUGUUCUCUUGGGAGCAUCGGAGACAGAUGGUGCAUGGUUGUCCUCAGCCUUGGGUCGUGAGACGGUGGGUCAAGUCCCAACGAGGAGGGCAACCCUUAUAGUUAGUAGCCAGCGGUUCGCCCGGGCAGUCUAGAGCGUCUGCCAGGGAUUAAUUGGAGGAAGGUGGGGAUGACGUCGAAUCAUCAUGCCCCUUAUGAUCAGGGGUACACACGGGGUUACAAUGGCGUAACCAUAGGGUAGCAGAGCCAUGAGCCCGAGCAAAUCUCAUUAAUCACGUCUCACUCAGGAGUGUAGUAUGCAAGUUAGUCUACAAGACAUUGGAUCAGUUAGUAAUGAUGGAUCAGUAUGUCGCGGAGGAUAUGGUCACCGGGUCCUGUACACACCGCCAGUCA
Molecule: ribosomal RNA, 1395 nt
Filed under: uncultured bacterium
Lineage: Bacteria
Description: 16S ribosomal RNA
Rfam family: Bacterial small subunit ribosomal RNA
Source: RNAcentral